RNAcentral lists this ribosomal RNA (253 nucleotides) under uncultured bacterium. RNAcentral's name for it is "partial 16S ribosomal RNA". It matches the Rfam family "Bacterial small subunit ribosomal RNA", at positions 524 to 776 of the family's 1533-position model. The record is from RNAcentral.
GACGGAGGGUGCAAACGUUGUUCGGAAUCACUGGGCAUAAAGAGCACGUAGGCUGCGCGCUAAGUCAGGUGUGAAAUCCCCCGGCUCAACCGGGGAACUGCACCUGAUACUGGCGUGCUCGAGGACGGUAGGGGUGAGUGGAACUCCAGGUGGAGCGGUGAAAUGCGUAGAUAUCUGGAGGAACACCGGUGGCGAAAGCGGCUCACUGGACCGUCUCUGACGCUGAGGUGCGAAAGCUAGGGUAGCGAACGGG